AGCGCAGACGGUUGAUUAAGUCUGAUGUGAAAGCCCGGAGCUCAACUCCGGAAUGGCAUUGGAAACUGGUUAACUUGAGUGCAGUAGAGGUAAGUGGAACUCCAUGUGUAGCGGUGGAAUGCGUAGAUAUAUGGAGAACACCAGUGGCGAAGGCGGCUUACUGGACUGUAACUGACGUUGAGGCUCGAAAGUGUGGGUAGCAAACA
Molecule: ribosomal RNA, 206 nt
Filed under: uncultured bacterium
Lineage: Bacteria
Description: partial 16S ribosomal RNA
Rfam family: Bacterial small subunit ribosomal RNA
Source: RNAcentral